This 497-nucleotide ribosomal RNA is filed under the name uncultured bacterium. Its description in RNAcentral is "partial 16S ribosomal RNA". It matches the Rfam family "Bacterial small subunit ribosomal RNA", at positions 28 to 507 of the family's 1533-position model. The record is from RNAcentral.
GAUGAACGCUGGCGGCGUGCCUAAUACAUGCAAGUCGAGCGAACAGAUGAGGAGCUUGCUCCUCUGACGUUAGCGGCGGACGGGUGAGUAACACGUGGAUAACCUACCUAUAAGACUGGGAUAACUUCGGGAAACCGGAGCUAAUACCGGAUAAUAUAUUGAACCGCAUGGUUCAAUAGUGAAAGACGGUUUUGCUGUCACUUAUAGAUGGAUCCGCGCCGCAUUAGCUAGUUGGUAAGGUAACGGCUUACCAAGGCAACGAUGCGUAGCCGACCUGAGAGGGUGAUCGGCCACACUGGAUCUGAGACACGGUCCAGACUCCUACGGGAGGCAGCAGUAUGGAAUCUUCCGCAAUGGGCGAAAGCCUGACGGGGCAACGCCGCGUGAGUGAUGAAGGUCUUCGGAUCGUAAAACUCUGUUAUUAGGGAAGAACAAAUGUGUAAGUAACUAUGCACGUCUUGACGGUACCUAAUCAGAAAGCCACGGCUAACUACGUG